GUCACAACUGGGAGCUCUGCUUUCACAGUGAUUAUGUAACAAUGUACGGUCCCAAGGAAACUCAGCAAAGCUAACAAGAUGCUGAAUGAAACCAGGAAGAAAAGAUGACUGCCCACAAGAUAAAAGCCCACGGUGUCACUAAGCCACUUGGGGUGGAGGCCGUUAGUUGGGCUUACAGCACAGUUGAUUCAGCUGUUGCAAUUACUUUCAACAUUAAAGGGAGCAGAAAUGAAUAGAUCAAUCGUGCCUCAGGCCAGUGUGCUAGCCACAGGACUCUAAAAAUAAAUAAAUGUCACUGUGGAGAGCUUUAGAAGAGGAAGCUCUCUGCUAAAGAGAGGACACAUUGGCCCUUUAUGUUUUUCCAAAGUCAUGACUGACAUGAGCUAUUCAAAUGUCUCAGAAACGAACUCCUUGUAUUUUGAUACCUCAGCAAUAUUUGGAUUUAAUUUUCUUUCUAAAAAGGGAAUCAUAGCAAGCAUCCAAUUUUGUAGUAUCCUAAAGUAUGACUGCUCAUCUACACAAAAGAUGAGUAUUGCAUUCCUGGAGGUGGAGAGUGGAGGGUUCCUCAAGAGGCCAGCUCAGAGACAUGUGGUCUUUGAAACUAUUUGAUAAAACUGCUUCAGUUCUUGGAAAGAUUAGCAACCACAGUGGGGUGGAAAGAGCUUUGGGAUGUAGAGGACAAGCAUUUGCCCCUGAGGAUAUUUUUAGUCAUCAUCUAUUUGUAACCACAGAUACCGAAUCCUCAUUCAUGUUACUAACGUGAACUUUCAAGAAAACUUUUUUUUUUUUUUUUUGAGUUUAGAAAGUGAAUUGAUGCCAAAUACUUAUUGGUAGGUAGGACAAAAUGUCUGCAAUUGGCAUGUGAAUGCUCAAAGAGGCAACUGGCUUAGAGAGGGUCCCUCAGUUUUAGGGAUCCUCCUCCACCUCCUGCCCAUGGAUCUCCCCUCUGUGCUGCGGAGUACAAGCCAGCUGGUCCAUGGCCUUCUGGGAAAUUCUCCUCUCCGUGUGACCUAUCUCAUCGUAGGAGUGCUGGGAUUACAGAUGUGCACCACCACACCUGGUUUUUGAUGCUGGUUUGGGGAUGGAACUAAGACCAUCAGCUUGCACAUCAAGGGGGAAAAAAAAUGAAGACGGUUCUCAAAGCAGCCCAUGUUUACAUGGUGUAUGGCUGGAGAUAAUUAUGUGAAAAUCAAAGUACCCGAGCUGCGUGCAAAGCAUGAACACACUCGAGGAACAGUAAAAGAGGCUUCGGGGAAGCAAGGGGCCGAUCUGAAUCUCAAAAAGACCACAGUGCAGAGGGAUGCUGGCGAAUUCCCUGGCUUCUUUUCAGGGGUAAAGCAACAACACCAAGAACUUUAGUUGGUCCUGCAAUUUCCUCCCUCCCACUCAGGAGCCCCUUCUAAUUAGGGCAAUACUCCCUCCCACUGCUUAAUUAAAUGCCUUCUCAGAGCAGCUUCAGAUCUGAUAGGGAUGAAUAAAUUGUUCCUUCCUCUGCUGGAGCUAUAGGUGAUCUGGCUCCAGCUAACAAAAACUGGCCUGGAACAGCAAUGGCAGCAGGAAAGGCUUUGGAGGCUGGGCAAGGCCUGUUCGGGGAUGCCCAAGUGUGGAAAGAGCGUGAGUGGAUUUUAGAAAGAUGAGGUGUCUGCUGUUCCAAAUCCUGCGAUGAGAAGUAGGGUGUCCUGGCUGCUACUGGGAUGUCCAUCAGGAAAGGCUAAACUAUAGAAGCAGAGGCCUAAAUUCUACAACUUAAACAAUGCAAUUCCUUCUUUAUGUGAAAGAGUAUCCCCUGCAGGAAAUCCAGAGCUGACCCUGUGACAUCAUAAAGAAGAAGUUCUAUUGUGUUCAGCAAUAAACCUCAAGCAUACCUUCUAAUUCAAUAUGGCUGCUGGGGAGCCAACCAUUACAUCUGUAUUCCAAGAACAAGAAGACACAGAGCACCUCUUUUGACUAGCAAAUGUUGUCCUCUCUCUGGGCACACUCCUGCUGCUAAGACAAAAGGGAAGAUGGGUGCCAGGCAGCUUAGCCGCUCGCUCUUGGCUAGAUUCCAGUGGUGAAGGUCAUUUCUCCAGCCCUGUGCAUCCUUCUUUGAGAUGAUAAAGAUAGAUACCUGUUUCCCACACUAAGCCAACGAGGGGAGCUGUAUAUUUUUGAGGAUCCCACAGACCAUCUUCCCAAUGGGAGUCACCAAAACACUUAUUGCAGAGGCCGCCAUAAGAAAGUGGUAAUUUUUAAAAAAUUCUUCUGAGUAUUUUUCAAUUUUGUCUAGGAAAUAGACUAAUUGCUGUCUUCCCUAAAACAUUCCCAAAGUGUUUUUAAUGGCUUUCUAGCUAUAAAUAAGUUGCAGUGCUUAGCAACGAGGAACAGAGGGGAGACGUAUAAAGCUCUUUGUUUUUAUAAUAACAGCCCUACCCAGGGCUUGCACUGGGUAAAGGGACCUCACUUCCUGACAGUGUGCUUUUCUGUUGUUAAGAAAUGAUGUAUUUCUCAUUGGUCUUUGCUUUUAAAUCCUCUUAGUUUGUCCGCGUAAUAUAAAUGACCUAAAACUGGCAUGGAUUUUAAGAAACUAAGAUUGGUUCAUAGAAGAAAUACUGCAUUGGUUAGGAUUUGUAUGGCUGCAAUGAAA
Molecule: small RNA, 2623 nt
Filed under: Rattus norvegicus (Norway rat)
Lineage: Eukaryota; Metazoa; Chordata; Mammalia; Rodentia; Muridae
Description: uncharacterized LOC102548498
Source: RNAcentral